This 738-nucleotide long non-coding RNA is filed under the name Sarcophilus harrisii (Tasmanian devil). RNAcentral describes it as "lncRNA (ENSSHAG00000025186.1)". The record is from RNAcentral. Lineage: Eukaryota; Metazoa; Chordata; Mammalia; Dasyuromorphia; Dasyuridae.
AGUAUUGUUAGCGAGGCAGAAAGGAAAAUUUAAGUCUGUGUGCUAUGUUAGCAAAAGGAAUUGUAGAAGUGAAGGGAGAACAAAUCUUUAUUGAGGGAAGAAAGUGAUAGGAAAAUCCACUUGAUCCUAUACAGGGAUUGAUUAAACUAUUGGAGCGCACACAGUACUUGAUCAAGAGAUGCAGAGAGAUUCUCCGGCUGGAUCCAUGGAAUUUAACCAACAUGUAGAAAUCUGGAGGGGAGCUAACUCCAGGAAGAAGACAAAUGGAUGACUCAGGGGUUGCUUGCCUGAAUUACAAACAAGAUAGAAAUGUGCAUGCAAUCUUGGGAGUUCAGGAGAACCAAAGAUUCCACUGGCAGAAAGAAUUGAAAGACUGUAAUACCAGUGACCACCAAAAUGAGAACAGUUUUGGCGGCUUCUCCUUUGGGAAUGAGAACAUACCAAAAACAAACUGACAAGAAAUAAGUCACCAGAAGAAGGCAAAUUUCAGGGAAUGUGAUACUUCAAAACAGAGAAAGGUGCUGAUUUUACACUAUCUAUAAAAAUAGCAGUCAGCCCAUUAGUAAAUCCAUUACGUAGCGAAUUGGUCUAGAAAUGGAGGACUUCAAAUUCUUGUGCUGAGGAUCCUAAUCCCAGAAUUUGAAAUCCUCCACUGAUAGAUUGAACUCACUCAAGAACUUAAACCCAAAGGUGUGUCUGAUUCUUUUAGCCAAUCACAAGAUGGUUCUUGUGUCUUGG